RNAcentral lists this ribosomal RNA (484 nucleotides) under Diutina catenulata. Its description in RNAcentral is "LSU rRNA". It matches the Rfam family "Eukaryotic large subunit ribosomal RNA", at positions 51 to 656 of the family's 3401-position model. The record is from RNAcentral. Lineage: Eukaryota; Fungi; Ascomycota; Pichiomycetes; Serinales; Debaryomycetaceae.
CGGAGGAAAAGAAACCAACCGGGAUUGCCUCAGUAACGGCGAGUGAAGCGGCAAAAGCUCAAAUUUGAAAUCCUUCGGGAGUUGUAAUUUGUAGAGGGGUGUCUUUGGGGCGGCAUUGUCUAUGUUCCUUGGAACAGGACGUCACAGAGGGUGAGAAUCCCGUGCGAUGAUGCCUCAACCAGUACAAGACCCUCUCGACGAGUCGAGUUGUUUGGGAAUGCAGCUCUAAGUGGGUGGUAAAUUCCAUCUAAAGCUAAAUACUGGCGAGAGACCGAUAGCGAACAAGUACAGUGAUGGAAAGAUGAAAAGCACUUUGAAAAGAGAGUGAAACAGUACGUGAAAUUGUUGAAAGGGAAGGGUAGGAGGUGAGGGGAAGAGCUGCUUAGGCGCGGGAGAUAAACAAGCAGGAAGCGCUUCGGUGCGGCCUGGUAAAUAUCCCGUGCUUGUGUGGUUCUUCCGUAAUCCCCUUCUACCGCCCGUCUUG